This 1452-nucleotide long non-coding RNA is filed under the name Macaca fascicularis (crab-eating macaque). RNAcentral describes it as "lncRNA (ENSMFAG00000052406.1)". The record is from RNAcentral. Lineage: Eukaryota; Metazoa; Chordata; Mammalia; Primates; Cercopithecidae.
UUUUUAUUUUUAUUUUUUUGAGACAGAGUCUCACUCUGUCGCCCAGGCUGGAGUGCAGUGGCAUGAUCUCAGCUCACUGCAACCUCCAGCUCCUGGGUUCAAGCAAUUCUCCUGUCUUAGCCUCCUGAGUAGCUGGGACUACAGGCACAUGCCACCAUGCCCAGCUAAUUUUUGUAUUUUUGGUAGAAACGGGGUUUCACCAUAUUGUUUAGGCUGGUGGUCUCAAACUCCUCACCUCUGGUAAUCCACUUGCCUUAGCCUCCUAAAGUGCUGGGAUUACAGGUGUGAGUCACCGCGCCCAGUCUGCCCUUAGUUUUUGGUUCAGCCAUGUUCCCCAGUCUUGCUCUGUCACCCAGGCUGGAGUGCAUGGCUGCAGUCUCGCUCACUGCAACCUCUGCCUCCCGAGUUUAAGUGAUUCUCUUGCCUCAGCCUGCUGAAUAGCUGGGACUACAGGCGCCCGCCACCAAGCUUGGCUAAUAUUUUGUAUUUUAGUAGAGACGGGGUUUCACUGUGUUGCCCACGCUGGUCUCAAACUCCUGUGCUCAGACAAUCCACCCUCCUCAGCCUCCCAAAGUGCUAGGAUUACAUGCGUGAGCCACCGCCUCCAGCCUGUUCCCCCAAGUUUUUGAGUAAUCUGAUUAUAUUUCUAGCUCAGUGGUUCUUAAACAUGAACACAUAUUAGAAUCAUCUAGGCUGUUAAAAUGCCAAUUGCUGGGACCCACCACAGAGUUUCUGAUUCAGUAGGACUGUUUCCAGGUGGUGCCAAGGCUGCUGGUCUGAGGACUAUACUUUGAAAACUACUGUUGUAGGAUUUUAUUUUUAAAAUUACCAAAGAACUUCUUAUUCAAAUGAACAACAGUCCUGGAUAAAUUUCACAGGUAAAUGCUUUCAAAUCUUCAAGGAACAUGUCAUGUUGAUUAACUUUGUGGUCUUGGGCAAGUUACUUAACCGCCCUGUCAGUGUUUUUUUUCUUGUGUAGAUGGAAAUAAUGAUACUUACAUAGUUGUUGCAGAUAUUAGAUGAAUCAAUGUAUAUAACAUACCUAGAAGGGUUCCUGGUACAUAGUAUUUACAAAUAUUUGCAAGUAUUUAUUUAUCUUAUUUAUUUUUUGAGACAGGGUCUGGCUUUGUUGCCCAGGCUGGAGUGCAGUGGUGCAAUCUCAGCUCACUGCAUCCUCCACCUCCUGGGCUCAAGCCAUCCUCCCACCUCAGCCCCCUGAGUAGCUGGGACUACGGCACGCGCCAUCACGCCCAGCUAGUUUUUUUGUAUUUUUUAUAGAGACAAGGUUUUGCCAUGUUGCGCAGACUAGUCUUAAACUCCUGAGUCCAAGCAAUCUGCCAGCCUCAUCCUCCCAAAAGGCUGGGAUGAUGCGCAUGAACCACCACGCCCAGACUCCAAGUAUUUAAACUGCUCCAGAGAACAGAGAGGGAAGAAAAUCAUCCAAACUAUUUA